UACGAAGGGGGCUAGCGUUACUCGGAAUUAUUGGGCGUAAAGCGUGCGUAGGCGGCCUAUUAAGUUGGAAGUGAAAGCCCAGAGCUCAACUCUGGAAUUGCUUUCAAAACUGAUAGGCUUGAGUGUCAGAGGGGAUAGCGGAAUUCCUAGUGUAGAGGUGAAAUUCGUAGAUAUUAGGAGGAACACCAGAGGCGAAAGCGGCUAUCUGGCUGAAUACUGACGCUGUUGCACGAAAGCGUGGGGAGCAAACAGG
RNAcentral lists this ribosomal RNA (253 nucleotides) under uncultured bacterium. Its description in RNAcentral is "partial 16S ribosomal RNA". It matches the Rfam family "Bacterial small subunit ribosomal RNA", at positions 524 to 776 of the family's 1533-position model. The record is from RNAcentral.